CCUGGAGGAGAUGUUGGAAACCGGUGAGCCCAGAAUGGAGCCAUCUCAGAGCCCAACCUGGUCCUGCUCCAGCCACUCUGUUGGGUGGCGCAAGCAUCCCUGCACCAAACAGCGAUGGAUUCACCUCACAGAGGGGAAGAUUUAGUUGCAAGCCUUGCAGCUUUGGUGAUGAUUAUUUCAGCUCUUCCUCUUCUUGGCCAGAUGGAGAAACUCGAGAAGGCCCCAGCUCUACAAAGCAGGAGGCAAGAGGGGAGGACUCAGCUCAGGCUGCCUGGCUGAGUGAUGGAUGCAUCGCACGGACAGCUUUAUAUGGCACUCAUCACAUGGAGGUCCUGAUUGCUUCCCAGUGCUAAUGAAGAUCUCCUGUAAUGGGCAUGCAAGACUAAUGCAUCGUGGCACUUCGAUUACAAGAAACAGCUCCUCCUGCCCCAUCUCCUGGAGGUGAAAGCCUGUGACCACAUCAAGGAAAGGCUCAGUGGCUGCCUGGGCUGGAUGUGGCCCAUUUAUAUGCCAGCAGCCGUGCCUGGGGUCCCUGACUGUCCCCUGGGGAGGACACGGGGUACCCAUCCCCACACUGUGGUACAUCUCCCCAUCAGCGUCUCUGAAGGGGCAGCAUUUCUGUUUGUGCUCCUGUCUUUAACAACUUAAAAGAAGAAUAAGAAGAUGGAAAUUGCAAAGCUGCUGGACCAGAACACGGUGUGUGCAGCCAGAAGUCAGUGCCUCCAUGUGCUACGGCCACGGACGCUGUGUGAGAGAAUGGGAGAACAUGAUCAGCAGCUAUUGUGAGAGUAAUGAAAAGAGCCUUUCAACACAGGCGUGGAAGCACACUGGGGAAAAAAACCCUCUAUUUAUUUAUAUUGAUAACCCUAUUAAAAUUGCUUCCCACAAAUGAUCUGUGACUGGCACUGCCUUGCCCGGUAUCCGCAAUAAUCAAAUCCCGGUAAGGCAAUUUAGCAAGUUGUGGUGGAUUUUUUUUCCUUCCAAGAGAAAAGAGUGGCUUGUUCUUUUAUUCCAGCAGCCUGGCUCUGCAUCCCCAGCCCUCUGCUGUGCUCUGCCUUGGCCAGGAUGCACUGGCAAGGCUGGACCAUCGCUGAAGCCAUCCUGAGCUGUACAUCUGCCUGAGUCCAGGUCCCUGAGCAGAACUGCUGAGUUUGGACUCUUCCACACUAAGGCAGAAUUCCUCAGCCCAUCUCCAUGAAAACAUGAUUAUUGUCAUUAAAUACAUACUGUGAUACACAAUGUCUGUACAGCACUCCCUGAUGAGCCCAUGCACCGAGCUUAACGACUCCUACUGUAUCUAAACACCAUACUCAGCUGUUCAGACACCACCGCAUGCUCGGCUCCCACUGCUGAUGGAGCAGCCUGAUGAUUUUCUUAAGGUCUGAGAUGAUGGUAACACCAUGAGAGUCACAAAAAGAGAUAUCUCCUCUCCCUCCCACUCUCUGCAAGGUUCAUUUCUCAAGCUGAAGAUGCUGAAGAUGGAAAACCAGCCAGAGCAACGCUACAGCCCUGGUGUUACGGAGCUGGGAUGCUACAACAGAAAUCAGAUGAACACAGUGGGCUCCCGAAGCACUGUGUUUCGAUGGACUCUAAUCUCCCACUUGUGAGACAAGACACUGCUGGGUCUGGUGGUGAUGCCGUGUGCUCCUGUGUGCCGGGAACAUGCGUGACCAUGUGCAGCCAGUGCUGUUGAGGGCUGACACCCCAUAGCACACAUCUGUGUCUAGGCUCAGCUCAGGACCAGCUAUCUCAGCCUGCCUUAUCACCCUGUGUCAGCAGGAACAUCCUCUGCAUCCUCCUCACCAGAGACCUGGCUGAG
Molecule: long non-coding RNA, 1819 nt
Organism: Pezoporus flaviventris
Lineage: Eukaryota; Metazoa; Chordata; Aves; Psittaciformes; Psittacidae
Exons: 4
Source: RefSeq, a predicted model, not a curated record